Molecule: ribosomal RNA, 537 nt
Filed under: Leia sp. ER-2009
Lineage: Eukaryota; Metazoa; Arthropoda; Insecta; Diptera; Mycetophilidae
Description: partial 16S ribosomal RNA
Rfam family: Archaeal large subunit ribosomal RNA (bases 401-537)
Source: RNAcentral
UUAUCAAAAACAUGUCUUUUUGUAUUUUAUUUAAAGUCUAACCUGCCCAUUGAAAAUUUUUAAAAGGCUGCAGUAUUUUAACUGUACAAAGGUAGCAUAAUCAUUAGUUUUUUAAUUGAAAACUUGUAUGAAUGGUUUAACGAGAUAUUAGCUGUUUUAUAAAAAUUUAUAUAGAAUUUAAUUUUUAAAUCAAAAAGUUUAAAUAUAAUUAAAAGACGAGAAGACCCUAUAGAGUUUUAUAAUAAUAAAUUUAUAAAUUUUAUAUAAUUUUUUUAUUUUUAAUUUUAUUAUUAUUUUGUUGGGGUGACAGUAAAAUUUAAAAAACUUUUAUUUUUUUAUAAACAAAAAUUUUUGUAUUUUUGAUCCAGUUAUAUUGAUUAUAAGAUUAAAUUACCUUAGGGAUAACAGCGUAAUUUUUUUGUAGAGUUCUUAUCGAUAAAAAAUUUUGCGACCUCGAUGUUGGAUUAAGAUAAAUUUUAGAUGUAGCAGUUUAAAUAUUAGGUCUGUUCGACCUUUAAUUUCUUACGUGAUCUGAGU